UUACGAUAAGGGCAAACCCUAAGUGAUUAGGGGACGCAAAGUGAAUAGGGUCUUUAAAUUUCAAUAAAGACAGCCUUACUACCGAA
This 86-nucleotide non-coding RNA is filed under the name Planctomycetota bacterium. RNAcentral describes it as "Planctomycetes bacterium c-di-GMP sequence". It matches the Rfam family "c-di-GMP-I riboswitch aptamer". From Rfam's summary of the family: GEMM was predicted in a large-scale screen for bacterial structured RNA regulatory elements. Lineage: Bacteria; Pseudomonadati; Planctomycetota. The record is from RNAcentral.